Molecule: long non-coding RNA, 889 nt
Organism: Cyprinodon variegatus (sheepshead minnow)
Lineage: Eukaryota; Metazoa; Chordata; Actinopteri; Cyprinodontiformes; Cyprinodontidae
Exons: 4
Source: RefSeq, a predicted model, not a curated record
AAUCAUUUUAAUGAACUGUAAAAUCUAAACAAUCUUGUUGAAGCCAGACUGUAAAAUGCUCAGUGAUGAGUUUGAUCAACGAGGAUGAAGAUCCAUGAGCUCCUCCGCUCUGCGCCGCCUCUCCUCCGUCACUUCCACGGGAAGGUCCGCGUGCGUUCCGUGAUCCUAAAGGUGUGUUGUUAUUGUGACAGCUUGGUGCAAUCUAACCGGGGAGGCUGCGUAACGUCAAGCCGUUAUGUUAGCCAGCCCCCGCUAGCAGCAAUGCUACCUACCGCAGAGUAGAGUCCGUUUAACGGCACUGUUUCCCGGGCAGCUCCGAGGCUCACAGCGGCCUGGAACACGAAGCGCGAGGCCAUAAAAAAGAGUGAGCGCUGACCCCCCCGACCAACCAACACCCUGCGUCUCCUGCCGCUCCCCCGCUUCCGUUGCCCCUCCCCCCCACCGCACCACAUCGCUUUUCUGUCUGCGGUGGAUAGGACUCCCAUUGGACGCUUUGUCAGGUGGCUAUUCGGUCUGGCGCCGCCUCCCCCUGGGGCCGGCGUGCGCUCCCAGCAGCCCGUGGUGCCCUGCGCCCCCCCCUCCCCGUCACUGCACAACAGGGCCCAUGUUCAGGGAGGAAGCGCGGUGCGUCCGCCAGGAGCCAUGUGCCUCCCUCAAACCAACAACAUGGACAGCAAGCAGCAGGGGGCGGGGGCAGGGGGCGGGGCUUUACCCAAACCAGGAGGUGGAGGCGUUUCUCUGGAGCCCUUCAUCCACCAGGUGGGGGGGCACACCAGCAUGAUGCGCUACGAUGACCACACUGUGUGCAAACCUUUGAUCAGCAGAGAGCAGCGCUUCUACGAGUCUCUGCCUCCUGAGAUGAAGGAGUUCACCCCGGAGUAUAAAGGUG